Molecule: RNase P RNA, 386 nt
Filed under: Wenxinia marina DSM 24838
Lineage: Bacteria; Pseudomonadati; Pseudomonadota; Alphaproteobacteria; Rhodobacterales; Roseobacteraceae
Description: Bacterial RNase P class A
Rfam family: Bacterial RNase P class A
About the family: Ribonuclease P (RNase P) is a ubiquitous endoribonuclease, found in archaea, bacteria and eukarya as well as chloroplasts and mitochondria. Its best characterised activity is the generation of mature 5'-ends of tRNAs by cleaving the 5'-leader elements of precursor-tRNAs. Cellular RNase Ps are ribonucleoproteins.
Source: Rfam by way of RNAcentral
GCGGAGGGUCGGACGGCCGCGGGGGCCUCCGGGUCUUCGAGGAAAGUCCGGACUCCCGUCUGGCACGGUGCCGGGUAACGCCCGGCCGGGGCAACCCGAGGGAAAGCGCCACAGAGAACAGUCCGCCCGGCACGUCCGGGUCAGGGUGAAACGGUGGGGUAAGAGCCCACCGCGGGACGGGCAACCGGACCGGCACGGCAAGCCCCACCGGGAGCAAUGCCGAAUAGGGGCCUCGCGCGGAGGGUGACUUCCGCAGGGACGCCAGACCCCGAGAGGCCCGGGUUGGCAGCUGGAGGCACGCGGCAACGCGUGCCCGAGAGGAAUGGUCGUCGCUCCGGGGCGUGUCUCCGGAGGCACAGAAUCCGGCUUACAGACCCUCCGCGCAC